Molecule: long non-coding RNA, 432 nt
Filed under: Ananas comosus (pineapple)
Lineage: Eukaryota; Viridiplantae; Streptophyta; Magnoliopsida; Poales; Bromeliaceae
Description: long non-coding RNA (ACOM_LNC026453)
Source: RNAcentral
AUCACUGGGACCCCAACAUUAAGGUUCUGUUUGACCGACCGUCCCUAGAGCAAGUGGCAAAAGACUUGGUGGUUGGUACCCGAUACUCAAAUUCGAAUCCUAGUUGAUUCAUAUUUUUAGUUAAGUUUAUUUCUGAAUGAAAUAAACGAAGCAGGUAGCGUGCUAUCUAUCUCUCUCUCAAAAAAAAAAAAAAAAGUUCUGUUUGUAAGUAUGGCUAUCUUGUUCGAUAUAUUUCCAUAAUUUACUCGAGAGAUUUAUAUAUUUGGUAGGUGAGGAGUAUGAUCAAAUGUCUACAAUUAGAUGUUUUAUUCGGCUUUCAAAUCAUUUAUUUUAAAUAAGAUAAAUCAUCUUAUAAGUAAAAUAUGCUAGCCUAUUAAAUUAUUGGUAUCAAGAACUUAAAAGGAGUAAAAAUCAAAUUCCUUUAUUACACUC